Molecule: ribosomal RNA, 433 nt
Filed under: uncultured bacterium
Lineage: Bacteria
Description: partial 16S ribosomal RNA
Rfam family: Bacterial small subunit ribosomal RNA
Source: RNAcentral
AACGAACGCUGGCGGCAGGCCUAACACAUGCAAGUCGAGCGAGGACUUCGGUUCUAGCGGCGGACGGGUGAGUAACGCGUGGGAAUGUGCCCUUCUCUACGGAAUAGCCCUGGGAAACUGGGAGUAAUACCGUAUACGCCCUAUUGGGGAAAGAUUUAUCGGAGAAGGAUCAGCCCGCGUUGGAUUAGGUAGUUGGUGGGGUAAUGGCCUACCAAGCCGACGAUCCAUAGCUGGUUUGAGAGGAUGGUCAGCCACACUGGGGCUGAGACACGGCCCAGACUCCUACGGGAGGCAGCAGUGGGGAAUCUUAGACAAUGGGGGCAACCCUGAUCUAGCCAUGCCGCGUGAGUGAUGAAGGCCUUAGGGUUGUAAAGCUCUUUCAGCUGGGAAGAUAAUGACGGUACCAGCAGAAGAAGCCCCGGCUAACUCCGUG